GACGAACGCUGGCGGCGUGCUUAACACAUGCAAGUCGAACGGUAAGGCCCUUCGGGGUACACGAGUGGCGAACGGGUGAGUAACACGUGGGUGAUCUGCCCUGCACUUCGGGAUAAGCCUGGGAAACUGGGUCUAAUACCGGAUAGGACCCUGGGAUGCAUGUCCUGGGGUGGAAAGCUUUUGCGGUGUGGGAUGGGCCCGCGGCCUAUUAGCUUGUUGGUGGGGUGAUGGCCUACCAAGGCGACGACGGGUAGCCGGCCUGAGAGGGUGACCGGCCACACUGGGACUGAGAUACGGCCCAGACGCCUACGGGGGGCAGCAGUGGGGAAUAUUGCACAAUGGGCGCAAGCCUGAUGCAUCGACGCCGCGUGAGGGAUGACGGCCUUCGGGUUGUAAACCUCUUUCAGCACCGACGAAGCGCAAGUGACGGUAGGUGCAGAAGAAGGACCGGCCAACUACGUGCCAGCAGCCGCCGCAG
RNAcentral lists this ribosomal RNA (478 nucleotides) under uncultured bacterium. RNAcentral's name for it is "partial 16S ribosomal RNA". It matches the Rfam family "Bacterial small subunit ribosomal RNA", at positions 28 to 523 of the family's 1533-position model. The record is from RNAcentral.